RNAcentral lists this ribosomal RNA (253 nucleotides) under uncultured bacterium. RNAcentral's name for it is "partial 16S ribosomal RNA". It matches the Rfam family "Bacterial small subunit ribosomal RNA", at positions 524 to 776 of the family's 1533-position model. The record is from RNAcentral.
UACGUAGGGUGCGAGCGUUGUCCGGAAUUAUUGGGCGUAAAGAGCUUGUAGGCGGUUCGUCGCGUCUGCCGUGAAAAUCCGGGGCUCAACCCCGGACUUGCGGUGGGUACGGGCAGACUAGAGUGUGGUAGGGGAGACUGGAAUUCCUGGUGUAGCGGUGAAAUGCGCAGAUAUCAGGAGGAACACCGAUGGCGAAGGCAGGUCUCUGGGCCACUACUGACGCUGAGAAGCGAAAGCGUGGGGAGCGAACAGG